This is a long non-coding RNA of Humulus lupulus (European hop), 898 nucleotides long. RefSeq lists it as uncharacterized. The record is from RefSeq and is a predicted model, not a curated record. The transcript has 3 exons. NCBI's taxonomy places the organism in Eukaryota, Viridiplantae, Streptophyta, Magnoliopsida, Rosales, Cannabaceae.
UUGAGGAUUAUCGGGAAUUGGGUAAAUGACUAAAAUGGCCCUACUUGGGUAAAAGGGUUUAGAAUUAAUAGGGAGGGCAUUUUGGUCAAUUGGCUUUUGAAGAUAGAAUAAAUGAGGCUUUAUACACUUAGUGGAUUUUGUAGAAUAGAGUAAAGGGGCUGAAAAAGAAAGGAAAAAGGAAAGAAAGAAAAGAGAGAAAACUGAUGGGUUUUCUAAGGGAUCGGUUUGGGGGUUCUAGCACCUCUUCUCUUCAUUUUUCUUGAGGUCAAGUUCAGUGGGGAGCUAGGAUAGGCUGAGCAUCAAGAAUCUUAAGGUUACACUUGAAGACUUGGCAAGGAUUAGCAAGAACAUCUGAAACUUGAGGUCAAGCUUUGAUGAUGAUCAAGCUAAGGAGGCCUAGGGUUGAAUCAAGGUCGAAAUUGCAUUAAUGGUAUGAUUUCUAAGACUCUAUCUUUGUGGUUUACAUGAAUUUCUGGUUUAGGGUUGUUCAUGGUAGAUUUUGAGUUGUUGGGUUGCUUGAGCUUGGGAUUGAGUUCUUGGGAUGCUUGGGAUGAGUGUGAGGUGUGUAUAAGUUUUUUUUUUGGGCUUGGGAAAGACUUGGACAAGUUUGGAGUUGAAAUGAGAGAAGAAAAUCGCAAGAAGCGAUUUUUGGUUUUGGUUGCCUGCAACUAGCGCUACAGCGCUAGUCUUUGGGCGCUGUAGCGCUAGGCCUUCUUUCUGGGGAGGUGCUGAUUCUGCUUGUAGUGCUAUAGCGCUCUCUUUUGAGCGCUGUAGCGCUACCCUGCGCCCAGAAUGGGGUUUUUGGGCUAUUUGUGAGGAUUUUGACCUAGGGUUCGGGGUUCGACUCCGCCACCUUGUUUUGUGGAUCUAGGACUUCCUGGGGGGGGGGGGGGGGGGG